This 359-nucleotide ribosomal RNA is filed under the name Badhamia albescens. RNAcentral describes it as "SSU rRNA". It matches the Rfam family "Eukaryotic small subunit ribosomal RNA", at positions 112 to 405 of the family's 1831-position model. The record is from RNAcentral. Lineage: Eukaryota; Evosea; Eumycetozoa; Physariida; Physaraceae.
GUAAACCAUAGCGAGCAAACCGUGGCGGCAUCGCAAGGCGUCGUCGCGGUUAAUAAGGAUAACCCUGGUAAUUCUGAGGCUAAUACAAGAACGUACAACCCGCCCGACCCGCGAGGGAAGGGGGGGGAAUGUGUGACCAGGCACGCAAAUUCGAAACUGGGAGUGGCCACACGUUCAGACCGUCAUACCAAACAGUCGCUCGCUUUGAAAGUCCUCGUGACGAGUAAACGGCGGGCUUCUGGGCGGCUCUCGCUGUGUGCUUCUGACCUAUCAACUAGAUGGCAGCGUAACGGACAUGCUAUGGUGACAACGGGUACAGAGGAUAAGGGUUCGAUCCUGGAGAGUGGGCCUGAGAGAUU